AGAGUUUGAUCCUGGCUCAGGACGAACGCUGGCGGCGUGCUUAACACAUGCAAGUCGAACGAUGAACCACUUCGGUGGGGAUUAGUGGCGAACGGGUGAGUAACACGUGGGCAAUCUGCCCUGCACUCUGGGACAAGCCCUGGAAACGGGGUCUAAUACCGGAUACUGACCCGCUUGGGCAUCCAAGCGGUUCGAAAGCUCCGGCGGUGCAGGAUGAGCCCGCGGCCUAUCAGCUUGUUGGUGAGGUAAAGGCUCACCAAGGCGACGACGGGUAGCCGGCCUGAGAGGGCGACCGGCCACACUGGGACUGAGACACGGCCCAGACUCCUACGGGAGGCAGCAGUGGGGAAUAUUGCACAAUGGGCGAAAGCCUGAUGCAGCGACGCCGCGUGAGGGAUGACGGCCUUCGGGUUGUAAACCUCUUUCAGCAGGGAAGAAGCGAAAGUGACGGUACCUGCAGAAGAAGCGCCGGCUAACUACGUGCCAGCAGCCGCGGUAAUACGUAGGGCGCAAGCGUUGUCCGGAAUUAUUGGGCGUAAAGAGCUCGUAGGCGGCUUGUCACGUCGGUUGUGAAAGCCCGGGGCUUAACCCCGGGUCUGCAGUCGAUACGGGCAGGCUAGAGUUCGGUAGGGGAGAUCGGAAUUCCUGGUGUAGCGGUGAAAUGCGCAGAUAUCAGGAGGAACACCGGUGGCGAAGGCGGAUCUCUGGGCCGAUACUGACGAUGAGGAGCGAAAGCGUGGGGAGCGAACAGGAUUAGAUACCCUGGUAGUCCACGCCGUAAACGGUGGGCACUAGGUGUGGGCGACAUUCCACGUCGUCCGUGCCGCAGCUAACGCAUUAAGUGCCCCGCCUGGGGAGUACGGCCGCAAGGCUAAAACUCAAAGGAAUUGACGG
Molecule: ribosomal RNA, 894 nt
Filed under: uncultured bacterium
Lineage: Bacteria
Description: bacterial SSU rRNA
Rfam family: Bacterial small subunit ribosomal RNA
Source: RNAcentral